This is a transfer RNA of 73 nucleotides. It matches the Rfam family "tRNA". Rfam says of the family: Transfer RNA (tRNA) molecules are approximately 80 nucleotides in length. Their secondary structure includes four short double-helical elements and three loops (D, anti-codon, and T loops).
GGGGCCGUAGUUUAGCCUGGAAGAACGCGGCCUUGGGGUGGCCGUAACCUGGGUUCAAAUCCCAGCGGCCCCA